This 552-nucleotide ribosomal RNA is filed under the name uncultured bacterium. RNAcentral's name for it is "partial 16S ribosomal RNA". It matches the Rfam family "Bacterial small subunit ribosomal RNA", at positions 355 to 898 of the family's 1533-position model. The record is from RNAcentral.
UAGGGAAUCUUCCACAAUGGACGCAAGUCUGAUGGAGCAACGCCGCGUGAGUGAAGAAGGUUUUCGGACCGUAAAGCUCUGUUGUUGGUGAAGAAGGAUAGAGGUAGUAACUGGCCCUUUAUUUGACGGUAAUCAACCAGAAAGUCACGGCUAACUACGUGCCAGCAGCCGCGGUAAUCGUAGGUGGCAAGCGUUGUCCGGAUUUAUUGGGCGUAAAGCGAGCGCAGGCGGAAGAAUAAGUCUGAUGUGAAAGCCCUCGGCUUAACCGAGGAAUUGCAUCGGAAACUGUUUUCUUGAGUGCAGAAGAGGAGAGUAGAACUCCAUGUGUAGCGGUGGAAUGCGUAGAUAUAUGGAAGAAUACCAGUGGCGAAGGCGGCUCUCUGGUCUGCAACUGACGCUGAGGCUCGAAAGCAUGGGUAGCGAACAGGAUUAGAUACCCUGGUAGUCCAUGCCGUAAACGAUGAGUGCUAAGUGUUGGGAGGCUUCCGCCUCUCAGUGCUGCAGCUAACGCAUUAAGCACUCCGCCUGGGGGAGUACGACCGCAAGGUUGAA